This 1315-nucleotide long non-coding RNA is filed under the name Homo sapiens (human). RNAcentral describes it as "non-protein coding lnc-IFIT5-4:1". Lineage: Eukaryota; Metazoa; Chordata; Mammalia; Primates; Hominidae. The record is from RNAcentral.
GCAAAGUGCUAUUCCAAACAGAUAUAACUUCAUCUUAACUUUGACAUUUUACAGAUACCUUCCAAUUUUUUUUUUUUGAGAUGGAGUCUUGCUCUGUCGCCCAGGGUGGAGUGCAGUGGCAUGAUUUUGGCUCACUGCAACCUCCACCUCCUGGGUUCAAGCGAUUGUCCGGCCUCAGCCUCAUGAGUAGCUGGGACUACAGGCGCCCGCCACCACGCCUGGCUAAUUUUUUGCAUUUUUAGUAGAGACGGAGUUUCACGAUGUUAGCCAGGAUGGUCUUGAUCUCCUGACCUCAUGAUCCACCCGCCUCAGCCUCCCAAAGUGCUGGGAUUACAGGCGUGAGCGACCAUGCCCAGUCCCAAAUAUUUUUAAAAUUGCAAAUGACAAAGUCAAUGGGGUUCAAAACUAAAUUCUUAAACUAAGUAAGGAGAUAACAGACAACAUUUAAAUUUGUCUUUGGAAAACAACUAUGAAAUAUUACCAUUUUCUCCUAUCAGAUCAAGUCAGUAUUUCAUUCUGAAAGCAAUGUAUUAACAUGUGAUUUUAUGAAAUAAUCAAGGUAUAGGCAAGCUCUCUUGCGGAGCAUACACAUUAACUCAGGAUCAUCCUCAUUGCUGUUUUUUUUCCCCCAGCACUUGUGAGGCCUUGUAGGGGACAGUGGAUUAAAUAGCCUUCAGGGUCAAAACAGUUCCUUGACAUUUGGAUUUUAAACUCCUGGUAAUUAAAAUUGAUUGCAUAAUUUACUCCUAUUACAGGUGUGACACACUGUGAGAUUCAGGAUUAUAAUUCUUUGGACUUAAAAUGGUUGGAAACAAGCUGGGGGAUCUGGACUUUUUCUUCCCUCCAUGCCUUCCCUCUUCAAUCUGAAGACUCAGAAAUUAUCCCAAACCAUAGAAAAGUGGAGUAUUUGAGAAUGAAUAAACUUAUAAUCCAAUGAGUAGAUUUCUAAUUAUUAUCUAUAAAGAGAUGAAGAGCAGUGGAUAGUGGAACAAGAAUUAACACAGGGAGAAAGGAAUCUCACCUUUAGAAUAUCUCUAGGAUAAUAUUUUUCAGACAACUGACUCCCUCCAAUCCUCUUUUGGGUAAUGAUAAAACUAAAUGUCUGAUCUGCAAAGAAAACUCUCACCAGAGACCUGCUGAUUCAAGAAUUCAGUUCCUGCCCAAUUGGAAUACUGCCAACAUUUUUCCAACCUAACAGGAAUGCGUCUGCAGUCUAAGUAAGAGCUUCUUCUCUGAAGGUAAAAGACGGGAAGUUUUGGUGUUGUUGACAUUUCAGUGAGUGCUGCCAACAUCUGGCAUACUAGAAUUGAUCUAC